RNAcentral lists this long non-coding RNA (989 nucleotides) under Macaca mulatta (Rhesus monkey). RNAcentral describes it as "lncRNA (ENSMMUG00000042689.2)". The record is from RNAcentral. Lineage: Eukaryota; Metazoa; Chordata; Mammalia; Primates; Cercopithecidae.
UAUAUUGAUCCAAAGUAUAUUGUUUAGUGACAAGCUGUUCCCCUUUGAGUUUGAUAGGGGGUUAUUUAUGUCUAAGUCUAAAUCUAAAAAAUGUAUUUGUAUACACCUGGCAGAAGGAAAGAAACAGUUGAAUAAAUUUAGAUAAAAGAAAAUAAAACCAGAAAUAAAAUCAGUAUGAAUUAAUGCCAUAUAUUCAUAUGUUAUUGUUACAGGUGGGCAGCAAAUUCGUCACUAAUUUUCCAGCAGCCAAUGAAAUAAAAGAAAACAAGGAUUUAAAAGACUCAUUGAAUAAAAAGUGUACAGACUAAAGAUGAAGUGGUCAAAGGAUAAGGAGGUGAUAUCUAGAAGAUGUUGCAAGUGCCAGACUAUUUUAUGCUGCUGUAGAAAGCAAUAGCCAGAGUCCUGCAGAGCACAGAAGCAAGACUGUCUCCUCAGGUAAGCAGUAACAACUUCAUAUUUGUGUGGCACAUUUCACUUUUGUAACACUUUUGUAUAUUUCUUUUUUUCCCUUAUACCUUCACAGCACUGGUCUAAAAGUAUGUAGGUAGUUCUUUAAUUGUUACCUUAUAGAUGAAAAAAAGAGAAACCUCAGAGGGACUUACCUGAGCCCAAAGAGCUAAGAAGCAGGCCAGAACUCAAAAGAACUAUGCUUUUAAAAAUGACACUCUAUCAUGUCUUGAAAGUGCCUUGAAAGGAUCCCUCUGCCUCUAGUUUUCAAUCUGAAAUCUUAAGUUUGAUAAAAAUUUUACAUGCAGUGUUGCCUAUCCAAAAUUGCCCCUUUAUGGGACUUCAGAAUUUCCAUUAUCUUUGCUCUUUAUAUUUCCACUUAUCAUUGCUCCAAGAAAUUCUAAAAAUUCAGAUAAAAGUCCUUGCUUGAUUCUUUAAGGUUGUUUGAUAUUUGGAUCCAUUUGAAUGUUGACCAUAGCUGUCUAUUUUUAUAAUUUGUUUUUCACCAUGCAUAAACUACUAUCUUAACCUUGUUCUGUUUU